Molecule: ribosomal RNA, 494 nt
Filed under: uncultured bacterium
Lineage: Bacteria
Description: partial 16S ribosomal RNA
Rfam family: Bacterial small subunit ribosomal RNA
Source: RNAcentral
GACGAACGCUGGCGGCGUGCUUAACACAUGCAAGUCGAACGGUGAAGCGCCUUCCUUUUUGGUGGGUGUGGAUGAGUGGCGAACGGGUGAGUAACACGUGAGUAACCUGCUCCCUUCUUCUGGAUAACCGCAUGAAAGUGUGGCUAAUACGGGAUAUUCUGGGCCUGUCGCAUGAUGGGUCUGGGAAAGUUAUUGUUUCGGUGGGGGAUGGGCUCGCGGCCUAUCAGCUUGUUGGUGUGGUGAUGGCCUACCAAGGCGGUGAGGAGUAGCCGUCCUGAGAGGAUGGACGGUCAUAGUAGUGCGACGACGCGGAGCAUACUCCUACGGGAAGCAGCAGGGGGGAAUAUGGCACGAUGGGCGCAAGCCUGGUGCAGCGACGCGGCGUGAGGGAUGGACGCCGUCGGGUUGAGAACCGCUUUCGGGAGUGAAGCAGGCCUGACGCGUCUGUGGGUGUGUUGACGGUAGCUAGAUAAGAAGCGCCGGCUAACUACGUG